This 28-nucleotide small RNA is filed under the name Bombyx mori (domestic silkworm). RNAcentral's name for it is "ovarian small RNA-22296". Lineage: Eukaryota; Metazoa; Arthropoda; Insecta; Lepidoptera; Bombycidae. The record is from RNAcentral.
UAGCAUAUUUAAUAACAUCUACAAUAAG